GGGACCGGCUGAGGACUCUGUGUAUCUACAGUUUGCUUUGCGACUGACUGUGUGUGCUUGCUUGUGGGUUUGGGCGCAAAUGAAGAAGCAAACGAGUAUGCGACCAAAAAAAAAAAAAAAAAAUCUAUGAGAAAGAGACAGAUUUUUCUGGAAGUUAACUCAUUUUGUGCUCAAGAAGGACUCAAGAUUUUGGAGGCUACUUUUUUUUUUGUUGAAUAAGUAAAUUUUUUUUUUUCAGUCACUUUUGUCCAGUUUUUGCAAUUUUGACAGAACCCUUGAUAGAAAAAAAAAAAAAACUACAAGUUAGCUCUGGUGACAUUAUGGUGGGGGAACGCCCCCUGAGUUUGACUGAUGGAGAGACACGCUGAUGGAGAAGUGAGAGUCGUUCAGCUCUGACCCCGAACAAUAAGCUUCAACGUGAUGGGAGCAGACAGCCGCAAUCAUGGAAAUGUCACGGCCAACAUCAGAGACCCUGCAGCCUCCUUUUUCAUUCCCUUAAUCCACAAUCCUUCCUCUGCUCUCCUCUUCUGAGCAAUAUACAUAUUCAUUGGCUCAAGUCCUCACCAUUCUAAUGAGGGCUAGACCAGCGUGCUAUGAAAGAGAGCAGAGAUAAGGGAGGUGGGUGGGUGGGGGGUUAAAAAGAGGAGAGACCGUCUUUGAACUCCCAAAAAAUAAGCGAUGGAUGAGAGGUCAUGAUGAAUAGAUAGAUUGUUGAAAUGAUAAGAGAUACAGUGAGAGAGACAGAUCAGAUCCUGGUUCUUUUUCGUGGUCUAUAGACAGCAGAGUUAGUUGUGUUUGAUUUAAAUGGGGAAUUAUUUAGUCGCUUUCAAUAAGUGUGCUGUUAUACAUUUAUUUCACCCUGCAAACUGCUUACAUGAGGGGGUGGGGGAAACGUAGGAGUACAAGAGAGGUGGAAGAAAUACUGACUAAAUGGAGACAUAGAGAUGCAUAUAUAGAUAGAUGUACUGUACAAUAUUUUGAGGUGCUGAAGAAAUUGAAAUGAAGGUUUUUGAAUCUUUUGUUGACAGGCAUGUUUAGAGUAGAGAUGCACAAAUAUACGGUAGGUGAUAAUAUCAGUAGUGGCCGAUUUUAAUUAAAUACUUAUUAAACAUAUACAUAUAAAUAUAAAAAAUGAUUUACUAAUUUUAAUUAUUAAUUUAAUAUAAACAACCCCAAUUCCGAAAAAGUUGGGACAGUAUGAAAAAUGCUAAUAAAAACAAAAAUUAGUGAUUUGUAAAUUAUAUUCAUCCUUUGCUAUAUUGAAAGCACCACAACUACACAUAAUAUGAUGCUUUACCUUGUGAAUUUUUUUGUUUUGUUUGUUUGUUUGUUUUUUUUGCAACACUCCAAAAAAAGUUGACACAGGGGCAAUUUAAGACUAAUAACAAUAUGAUGAGUUGAAAUAAGGCCAUGUGAAACAGGAAAUGUUAAACAGGUGAGGCAAAUGUGUCAUAGUAUAUAAGGAGCAUCCAAAAACAGCCUAGUCCUUCAGGAGCAAGGAUCGUUCAAGACUUGUCAAAUUGCCAACAGAUGCUUCAGCAAAUAAUCCAGCUCUCUGAGAACAAUUUUCCCCAAAGACAAAUUGGAAGAAUUUUGGGCAUUUCACCCUCUACAGUGCACAACAUAGUUAAAAGAUUCAAGGAAUCUGGUCAAAUCUCGGUGCGUAAAGGGCAAGAUGAAAACCACUUCUGAAUGUGCGUGAUCUCUGAUCCCUCAGACGUCACGGUCUUAAACAUCAUUCAUCUGUAAUGGAUUUCAUGAACAUGGGCUUGGAAUAACUUUAAUAAACCUAUGUUACUCAACACCACUCGCCGCUGCACCCACAGAUGCAAGUUAACUUUACUAUGCAAAGCAGAAGCCAUACAUCAACACUGUCCAGAAGCGCUGCUGACUUAUCUGGGCUCGGUCUCAUCUUAGAUGGAAAGUAGAACAGUGGAACUGUGUUUUUUGGUCUGAAGAGUCCACAUUUCAAAAUGUUUUUGAAAAACGAGGAAAAGGACCAUCCAAGCUGUUAUCAGCGUCAGGUCCAAAAGCCAGUGUCUGCAUGGGCCAGGGGUGUGUUAGUGCCCAUGGCAUGGGUAACUCGCACAUCUGUGAGAACACCAUGAAUGCAGACAGAUAUGAUAAUGUUUUUAUUAGCAUUUUCAUACUGUCCUAACUUUUUUGGAAUUGGAGUUGUAAUAGGCCUGUCAUGAUUAUUAAAUAAUCGUCUAAUUGUG
This is a long non-coding RNA of Myxocyprinus asiaticus (Chinese sucker), 2219 nucleotides long. RefSeq lists it as uncharacterized. NCBI's taxonomy places the organism in Eukaryota, Metazoa, Chordata, Actinopteri, Cypriniformes, Catostomidae. The transcript is spliced from 2 exons. The record is from RefSeq and is a predicted model, not a curated record.